UCUUGGCUCACUGUGGAUCCUCUUCCUCCUGGGCUCAAGCCAACGUCCCACUUCAGCCUCCCAUCAUGCCCGGCUAAUUUUUGUAAAUUUUUUUGUAGAGGCAGGGUUUCCCUACGUUGCCCAGGCUAGUCUGGAACUCCUGAGCCCAAGUGAUCCGCCCGUCUCGGCCUCCCAAAGUGCUGGGAUUACAGGCGUGAGCCACCGUGCCCGGCCUCAUUUAUGAAACUCUUAUCUGGCAGGCAAUGUGCAAUGUGCUUGGCAUAAAUAUCUCAUAUCCUCACAAUAAUCGUGUAAGGAAGAAACUCGGACUCAACCUCAAGAUAAGCACCAAAGCUCAUUUUAAACCUCACUGCCCUCUGCAAGAUAACUAUACAGAUGCUCCUCGAUUUAUGAUGGGUUGCUUCCCGAUAAGCCCAUCGCAAAGUUGAAAAAUCCCCUAAGUCGAGCCACCCUAAGUUGGGGACGCCUGCAUCAUGCUUUCAGAGGUGAAUGUAAAGUGGGUGAAGCGGCUCAGUGAUUGAGCGCUAGCCAGGAUUCCACGCCAGGCCUUUCCGUGUUCAACAGCUGCUUUCAGAAGUGUGGAAGCCUCGGAGAGGGUCCCUGAGGUAAGAUGGGCUGAGCGUCGCCGCCUUCUGCAAGGACACCAGCCUUGAGAGAAGAGAGGAGAUAAGGUGCAAACGAAGAAAGGCAGGGACGCCGCGGUUUCAGUCGAAGCGUGGGCUCCUUAAGGACAGGGGCUGUGUCCGACUCGGCUCUGAAUCCCCAGCGCCUACACAAGCUCUGACACAGCGUAUACUCAGUAAACAUGGAGUGAAUCAGUUCAUUCAAUGAAUGAACGAAUGAAUGAAACGCCAGAGCCCGCCACAGGGGUCCGCUGCCGCUCCACGCCCGGGCCUCUCACCGGCCAAUCAACACUGUGACUCGUACGCCCUGCCCCCUGAUGCCACGCCCAUCACUCGCCCCUCUGGAUUCCCUCCGGCUGCGUGGAAAUCCCGGAGCACUGGAUUUCCCAGAGGCGCCUCCGGUAGCAGUGCGCAUGCUCCAGCGCCGGUAGCUGAGGCAUCAAUUUCCCGCAGCGCCUAGGGGACGGAUUGGAAAGCGAUUGGCUUAGGGGACGGAAGCCAAGCUCCACCUGCCUGACACCCGGCUCUUCACGCAGAACCGAAGAUUCAUUUUGGACAGCCCUUCCCCAGUACCACUCCCACCCCGACGUUGGUCCCAAUCGGAACCUAUCCUACACAAGGCUGAAAAAAAGAGGGGAGCGACCGGAAGUGACGCACGAGCGCGAGCGGAAAAACAGGGGCCCAGCGCCUGUUGCCGUGGAAACCGAGCCCUCGGCUUGCGUCCCGGGUGCGUCACAGCUCCGGCUGACCACGCCCCGCGCGCGGCCCCGAGGCCCUGAGGCCCAGGGCGGGGACCAAAAGCCGCGCGCUUGUGACGAUGUCGCUGCGGGGCACGCUAAGGGGCGGAGAGGAAAUUUAGGGCCUGCCUUUUGUACAUUCGGUUAUUCAGCCCAGAAAUAUGUAUUCAACCCCAGGCGCGUGCCUGGCAUUGUGGAAGGCGACACGUGAGGAGAAUUGUGACUGGCCCAGAUGUCACCCCCCCCCAGCCCAGUAGUCAUUCUUCUCUGGAAGUCCUUACCCAUCUCACCUGUUCAUUCUUCAACCCCCAGUUUCCCGACCUUUUUCCUCAAGCCACGCCCUUCCACGCUUUCUUGUCUUUUCUGUGGUGUUCCUUCAGUCUAGAAUAUUCUCCACCUAGUACAAUCCUGCUCCUCCCCUGACAUUCUGCUGAAAUUGCACUCUUCAGCCUUCCCAGCUACCAGGAUGAGACAACUCUACUCAGACCCAAGCACACCAAGCCAGGAAUGCACAAAGGACGGCUGAUGUUUGAGAUAAGAACUGUCUCAAGGACUUUCUAUAAUAACCACACAAGGAAUUCCUCAUGUACGUCACAAGUCUCAUGCGUUUCUCCACCUACGUUUUGCACAUGUGCACACAUUUAUUGAUUUAGAGGCAGGGAUCUUGCUGUGCUGCCCAGACCGGACUCAAAUUCCUGGGCUCAAUCGGUCCUCCUGCCUCAGCCUCUAGAGUAGCUGGGACUCCAGGCAUGCGCCACCCUGUUAUUUCUGUGACCAGGCUUAGCACUAGGCAUUCUUUCGGACGACAGCAAUUCAAAUAAGAUGCUCUCCAAAGAACACUUGCCUAGUAGCGGCAUCUCCAAAAAUAAAUUGAUGCCGCUCCGGCUUUGAGCCUCCAGAACCAAAGAAACCUGUUUCCAGACAGCUUAUGUGAACUUCUACUUUUGGCCAAUAAGAGCUCCCACUUACCCCUGCCCUAUUCAGGUGCACCUGUGGCUUGCCAUAGCCAUAUAGCCAGGUGCACCAUCCUUUUUGCCUGCUCCUGAAUAAAUUAAUUAUAUUAGGAGACAUCUUUCUCUGAUGUCUUUUUUAGGUUAGCAACUCUAAUAUGUUGGAAGAAUACAGGCCAGCUACUUUGUAGAAUGUUCCUCAAUUUGAGUUUGUAUGAUGCUUUCUCAUGAUUAGAUUCAGGUUAUGUAUGUUUUGCAAAAAUACCUCAGAAGUGAUGGCAUCCUUGGUGCGGCAUCCUUGGUGCAUUAUAUCAGGAGGCAAAUGAUGUGGGUUUGUCCCAUUGUUUGUAAUGGUAACAUUGGUUGCUUGGUUAAGGUGAAGGGUGCCAAGCUUCUCCACUGUAAAGUUCCUAUUUUUUUCUCUGUAAUUAAUAAGUAAUUUGUAUGAUACUUUGAGAUAACAAAGUAGACUGUUCAUCAAACUUUCAUCAAUGAAUUUAACAUCCAAAGACGCCUCAAGAAUGAUCAUCAAAAGCAGCCUACUAAUGACUGUCAUUUACCAUUUAAUACAUUUCAAACAGUGCACGUGCUCUGUGACAUAUUCUGGGAAGGAACAUGUUACCUGAUACAUAAUAGGUGAUCAA
Molecule: long non-coding RNA, 2954 nt
Filed under: Homo sapiens (human)
Lineage: Eukaryota; Metazoa; Chordata; Mammalia; Primates; Hominidae
Description: non-protein coding lnc-CHRAC1-1:1
Source: RNAcentral